CUAAGGUGGGCCCUCCGUAGGUGUAGUCGUACAGACGAAGCCGAUGAGGGUUGCAGAGAAAUGGCGGUAGCGACUGUUUACCAAAAACACAGGACUCUGCGAAGACGACAAGUCGACGUAUAGGGUCUGACUCCUGCCCGGUGCUGGAAGGUUAAGGGGAUUCGUCAGCCGCAAGGCGAAGCGAUGAUCCGAAGCCCCAGUAAACGGCGCCGUAACAAUAACGGUCCUAAGGUAGCGAAAUUCCUUGUCGGGUAAGUUCCGACCUGCACGAAUGGAGUAACGACUUCCGCGCUGUCUCGGAGAGGGACUCAGCGAAAUUGAAAUAGCUGUGCCGAUGCAGUUUACCCGCAGCAAGACGGAAAGACCCCGUGAACCUUUACUACAACUUGACAGUGACACUAGGGAUUGACUGUGUAGGAUAGGUGGGAGCCUUUGAAACCGGGCCGCUAGGUUCGGUGGAGGCAACGGUGAAAUACCACCCUGUUGAUUUCUGGUGUCUAACCGUGUCCCAUAAUCUGGGAUCGGGACACUGUCUGGUGGGUAGUUUGACUGGGGCGGUCGCCUCCCAAAGCGUAACGGAGGCGCGCGAUGGUUCCCUCAGCCCGAUUGGAAACCGGGCGGCGAGUGCAAUGGCAUAAGGGAGCUUAACUGCGAGACAGACAUGUCGAGCAGGUGCGAAAGCAGGUCAUAGUGAUCCGGUGGUUCUGAAUGGAAGGGCCAUCGCUCAACGGAUAAAAGGUACUCCGGGGAUAACAGGCUUAUCUCCUCCAAGAGUUCACAUCGACGAGGAGGUUUGGCACCUCGAUGUCGGCUCAUCGCAUCCUGGGGCUGGAGCAGGUCCCAAGGGUUUGGCUGUUCGCCAAUUAAAGCGGUACGCGAGCUGGGUUCAAAACGUCGUGAGACAGUUUGGUCCCUAUCUGCUGUGGGCGUAGGAUACUUGAGAGGAUCUGUCCUUAGUACGAGAGGACCGGGAUGGAGACACCUCUGGUGUACCAGUUGUCACGCCAGUGGCAUCGCUGCGUAGCCAUGUGUCGAUUGGAUAACCGCUGAAAGCAUCUAAGCGGGAAACCGACCUCAAGAAUAGGUAUCCCGGGGGAAACCCCCUGAAGACCCGUCGAAGACUACGACGUUGAUAGGCCGGGUGUGUAAGCGUGGCAACACGUUGAGCUAACCGGUACUAAUUGGUCGUGCGGCUUACUUG
This 1201-nucleotide ribosomal RNA is filed under the name metagenome. RNAcentral describes it as "bacterial LSU rRNA". It matches the Rfam family "Bacterial large subunit ribosomal RNA", at positions 1741 to 2925 of the family's 2925-position model. The record is from RNAcentral.